RNAcentral lists this ribosomal RNA (253 nucleotides) under uncultured bacterium. RNAcentral describes it as "partial 16S ribosomal RNA". It matches the Rfam family "Bacterial small subunit ribosomal RNA", at positions 524 to 776 of the family's 1533-position model. The record is from RNAcentral.
UACAGAGGUCCCGAGCGUUGUUCGGAUUCACUGGGCGUAAAGGGUGCGUAGGUGGUGAGGUAAGUCGGAUGUGAAAUCUCCGGGCUCAACCCGGAAACUGCAUUGGAAACUACCUUGCUUGAGGUUUUGAGGGGGGACUGGAAUUCUCGGUGUAGCAGUGAAAUGCGUAGAUAUCGAGAGGAACACCAGUGGCGAAGGCGAGUCCCUGGAAAACACCUGACACUGAGGCACGAAAGCUAGGGGAGCAAACAGG